GUGAGGAAUAUUGGUCAAUGGGCGGGAGCCUGAACCAGCCAAGUCGCGUGAAGGAAGAAGGAUCUAUGGUUCGUAAACUUCUUUUGCAGGGGAAUAAAGUGCAGGACGUGUCCUGUUUUGUAUGUACCCUGAGAAUAAGGAUCGGCUAACUCCGUGCCAGCAGCCGCGGUAAUACGGAGGAUCCGAGCGUUAUCCGGAUUUAUUGGGUUUAAAGGGUGCGUAGGUUGUUUGAUAAGUCAGCGGUGAAAGUUUGCAGCUUAACUGUAAAAAUGCCGUGGAAACUGGCGGACUUGAGUGUAAAUGAGGUAGGCGGAAUGCGUGGUGUAGCGGUGAAAUGCAUAGAUAUCACGCAGAACUCCGAUUGCGAAGGCAGCUUACUAAGCUACAACUGACACUGAAGCACGAAAGCGUGGGGAUCAAACAGGAUUAGAUACCCUUGUAGUCC
RNAcentral lists this ribosomal RNA (445 nucleotides) under uncultured bacterium. Its description in RNAcentral is "partial 16S ribosomal RNA". It matches the Rfam family "Bacterial small subunit ribosomal RNA", at positions 354 to 796 of the family's 1533-position model. The record is from RNAcentral.